RNAcentral lists this long non-coding RNA (496 nucleotides) under Eucalyptus grandis. Its description in RNAcentral is "long non-coding RNA (EGRA_LNC005510)". Lineage: Eukaryota; Viridiplantae; Streptophyta; Magnoliopsida; Myrtales; Myrtaceae. The record is from RNAcentral.
GAAUAAACUUGAUCCACCUUCAAGGGAAGAGAAGCUGAGAAAUGACCCUCAUAUGCAAGUUUUAUCAGAAUAAAAUAAAUCCUUCUGUUGACCAUCCAGAGUGUGCUGAUCUGAUAUGGAUGCAAAAUUAGCUAGGGCUUCAAUCUUGUCACUGUCAACCAGAAUCAAUAGUUAUGGUUUAGUACACAUUCGAUGAAUCGAUGAAAGAUGAACAGUAUGGUUAUUCUGUAAGGCUGGAUUUCUGUGUGUUGCCAAUCACUUCAUUUGAAGUCACGUCUAAAGGGCGGCACCGCAUGGACUUGUCUUCUGUUGCAUAGUUUCUUGUACUGCUUAUUUAGCUGCUACUCGUGUCGGCAUCAGAUUUUGUUAAGAGGAGGAUGGUCCCGAGGCACAGCCUGUACCUCCGGCAAUGGAUUGUGCUGUUCUGUUUCUUUUCUUUUCUUUUAAAUGUUUAUGCAGAGACUUCCAUUUGGCUGUCUAUUCAGCUUGAGAAGAC